This 265-nucleotide ribosomal RNA is filed under the name uncultured bacterium. Its description in RNAcentral is "partial 16S ribosomal RNA". It matches the Rfam family "Bacterial small subunit ribosomal RNA", at positions 793 to 1055 of the family's 1533-position model. The record is from RNAcentral.
GUCCACGCCCUAAACGAUGUCGACUGGUUGUUGGGGGUUUGACACUCUCAGUAACGAAGCUAACGCGUGAAGUCGACCGCCUGGGGAGUACGGCCGCAAGGUUAAAACUCAAAGGAAUUGACGGGGACCCGCACAAGCGGUGGAUUAUGUGGAUUAAUUCGAUGCAACGCGAAAAACCUUACCUACCCUUGACAUGUCCGAGAGCCCGAAGAGAUUCGGGUGUGCCCGAAAGGGAAUCGGAACACAGGUGCUGCAUGGCUGUCGU